This 540-nucleotide ribosomal RNA is filed under the name Triticum aestivum (bread wheat). RNAcentral's name for it is "partial small subunit ribosomal RNA". Lineage: Eukaryota; Viridiplantae; Streptophyta; Magnoliopsida; Poales; Poaceae. The record is from RNAcentral.
AUGCCGCCAAACCAGUGCUCGUCCAACAAGUCGCUGGACGUGGACAGCUCGCUCGGCGUCGGCGAGCCUUGGGCGUCCUUUUCGCCGUCGUGCAUCUCCGACGUUGACACGACGGGGCGCUGCCGCUGGAACUCCAGGACGGCGAUGGCGACGGCGUCCUUGAUCUCCCGCGCGCUGCUGAAGCGGGACGAGCCAGCCGCGAGGACGGGCAGCAUCCGCCAGGCGGAGUCGGCGAAGUUGAGGCAGGCGGCGCGGUCGAGGAGCGCGAGCACGGCGGAGUCGUGCGCGCGCGCCGCCAUCUCGGCAGUGGUGAAGGUGCCGAGCCAGAGCCUGUACCCUUGCGCGCCGCGCACGCGAACCUCGCACACCCACUGCCCGAGCCGGCCCCGGCGCCGCACGCCGCGGUACAGCGGGUGGCGCGUCUCCCUGAACUUGGUCCGCCCUGCCGGCCUCUUGGGCGGCUCCGAGCACACCGUCCUGUGCCCCUCACGCGGGGAGCCGGCAGCGGCGGUGUCCAUCAGUUGCAGCGUCAAAAACUAG